Drosophila suzukii is the source of this 852-nucleotide non-coding RNA. The record is from RefSeq and is a predicted model, not a curated record. NCBI's taxonomy places the organism in Eukaryota, Metazoa, Arthropoda, Insecta, Diptera, Drosophilidae.
UAUCUGCGGAGGAAGGAGUGCCGUAUGGCAGCUCUCCAUCUGUCAGCCCCUUUGAUUAUUAUUUUCCCAUCAAUCAGUUGACAUUCAAAUUGAUUCAUUGAUGCUGCAGCAGCUGAUUUGAUUGACGCCAGGAACAGAUGGCGAACAAAUCCUUUGCCAGGCGGGGAUUCCCCGCUCCGCUGAGCUUUAUAAAUAGCUCCGAGCUUCGGUCUGAAGCAAAUGCCGGAGCACAACAACCCAGCAAUCGAACAACCCAACAAUCCGGCAGAUUGAGAUAGUUGCCGUAGAUAGAUAGAUAGACAGAUAGAGACAGUUCGAUUUGACAUUGAGCUAAGGACGUGAUAGCUUAUUCGACUGCCACUGCCAGCAGUUGUGCACAAUGCAUUUGUGCAAUUGUAAUUUCGCAUUGAUAAGCUAGUAAAUCCAUGUAUAGUGUUUUCCUAGCAUCGAUGCUGGUUCUGUGGACGUGACUCCCAGUUAACCCCGUGCCGGAAAACGUGGCCAGGUCCGAAGGCAGUACGGAUUGUGUCCCGCAUUCCAUCAGCCGAGAUAGGGUCCGAUUAACGUGAACAAACGACUGCAACUAACUUACUAUCAUUGCGCUAUCUGCAAUCUGAACCAACCGGCAAUCGACAUUAACAAAUGGAAUGAAUUCUAUGGAAAUUUAUCUCACAGGGCAACGGAUUUGUCGCUCUUUGCCGCCAUGUGAUUUUUUAUUAUCAUUAUUAUUAUUAUCGUUAUUGUUGUAUUUAUAGAUUGCCGGUUGCAAUGCCAGUUGCCGUUUCCGUGCUUCAUUAUUAUUAUACCCAUUUGAAUGGGUAAACAAAUCACCGACAACUAACUAGAAAUCCA